RNAcentral lists this ribosomal RNA (1608 nucleotides) under Clostridioides difficile. RNAcentral's name for it is "bacterial LSU rRNA". It matches the Rfam family "Bacterial large subunit ribosomal RNA", at positions 563 to 2210 of the family's 2925-position model. Lineage: Bacteria; Bacillati; Bacillota; Clostridia; Peptostreptococcales; Peptostreptococcaceae. The record is from RNAcentral.
CUUACAAGCUGUGGAAGCACAUUUCUUGUGUGACCGCGUACUUUUUGUAGAACGGGCCAACGAGUUACGUUAAGUAGCAAGGUUAAGCACUUAAGGUGCGGAGCCGUAGCGAAAGCGAGUUUUAACUGAGCGUUCAGUUACUUGACGUAGACCCGAAACCGGGCGACCUACCCAUGAGCAGGAUGAAGCGAAAGUAAAAUUUCGUGGAGGUCCGAACCCACGAGCGUUGAAAAGCUCGGGGAUGACUUGUGGGUAGCGGUGAAAUUCCAAUCGAGCCCGGAGAUAGCUGGUUCUCCCCGAAAUAGCUUUAGGGCUAGCCUCAAGGUGAGAGAUACGGAGGUAGAGCACUGAAUGUCCUAGGGGGUAUUGCACCUACCGAAGACUAUCAAACUCCGAAUGCCGUCAUCUUAUACUUGGGAGUCAGACUGUGGGUGAUAAGAUUCAUAGUCGAAAGGGCAACAGCCCAGAUCGUCAGCUAAGGUCCCUAAAUGUAAGUUAAGUGGUAAAGGAUGUGGGAUUGCACAGACAACCAGGAUGUUGGCUUAGAAGCAGCCACUCAUUCAAAGAGUGCGUAAUAGCUCACUGGUCGAGUGAUCCUGCGCCGAAGAUUUCCGGGGCUAAAACUUACUACCGAAGCUACGGCAUCAGUAAUGAUGGGUAGGGGAGCUUCCCAUACGGGUUGAAGCAUGACCGUAAGGACAUGUGGACAGUAUGGGAGUGAGAAUGUUGGCAUGAGUAGCGAGAUGUGGGUGAGAAUCCCACAGGCCGUAAACCCAAGGUUUCCAGGGGAAGGUUCGUCCGCCCUGGGUUAGUCGGGACCUAAGCUGAGGCCGAAAGGCGUAGGUGAUGGACAACAGGUUGAUAUUCCUGUACUACCGAUAACCGUUUGAGAGAAGGGAUGACACAGUAGGAUAAGCUAAGCACACUGUUGGUUAUGUGUGCCCAAGCAUUGAGGCAGUCAAAGUAGGCAAAUCCGCUUUGAUAAUGCUGGGAUGUGAUGGGGAGCGAAAUUUAGUAGCGAAGUAGCUGAUUUCACACUGUCAAGAAAAGUCUCUAUCGAGGUUAAAGGUACCCGUACCGCAAACCGACACAGGUGGGUGAGGAGAGUAUCCUAAGGCCAGCGAGAGAACUGUUGUUAAGGAACUCGGCAAAAUGACCCCGUAACUUAGGGAUAAGGGGUGCCACCAUCAGGUGGCCGCAGAGAAUAGGCCCAAGCGACUGUUUACCAAAAACAUAGGUUUCUGCUAAGUCGCAAGACGAUGUAUAGGAGCUGACGCCUGCCCGGUGCUGGAAGGUUAAGGGGAUCUGUUAGAGCAAUCGAAGCAGUGAACUUAAGCCCCAGUAAACGGCGGCCGUAACUAUAACGGUCCUAAGGUAGCGAAAUUCCUUGUCGGGUAAGUUCCGACCCGCACGAAAGGCGUAACGAUUUGGGCACUGUCUCAACAACAGACUCGGUGAAAUUGUAAUUCCGGUGAAGAUGCCGGAUACCUGCGACAGGACGGAAAGACCCCAUGGAGCUUUACUGUAGCUUGACAUUGGGUCUUGGUACUACAUGUACCUGUCUCUUAUACACAUCUCCGAGCCCACGAGACUCCUGAGCAUCUCGUA